This 252-nucleotide ribosomal RNA is filed under the name uncultured bacterium. RNAcentral describes it as "partial 16S ribosomal RNA". It matches the Rfam family "Bacterial small subunit ribosomal RNA", at positions 524 to 776 of the family's 1533-position model. The record is from RNAcentral.
UACGUAGGGGGCAAGCGUUGUCCGGAAUUAUUGGGCGUAAAGCGCGCGCAGGCGGCUUUGUAAGUCUAGUGUUUAAUCUCGGAGCUCAACUCCGAUUCGCACCGGAAACUGCAAGGCUUGAGUACAGAAGAGGAAAGUGGAAUUCCACGUGUAGCGGUGAAAUGCGUAGAUAUCAGGAGGAACACCUGUGGCGAAAGCGGCUCACUGGACCAUAACUGACGCUGAUGCACGAAAGCUAGGGGAGCAAACAGG